CUUAGAGUCUUACAAUUAUCUUCAUAAUAAAAUAAAAUAUGUAAUAUUUUCGCAGGAUACUAGAAAAUAUGUCUAGAACAUAUUAUUAAACUCAACCCUGAUGUCACAAUAUCAGAGCCUAGAACUCAAUUUAAACAUAAACAAUAAUCCAACAAACUUUAAAGAACAACAUAAUAUAGUUGAGAGUAUAAUUUUCUACUUUAAUCUCGGACACAAAAAACUUGAUACUACUCCUCAAUAUUGUCACAGGGAUUAAAACCUGCAUAUAAUGAAUAGAAAAGAAACAUGUAGAAAAUAGGCAGUGAGCUAUGUUAUACGACACUUAAAGUGGUACAUCAAUAUCAAUUCAUAGAAACAAAUACAAGAAUAGACAUUUAUCAUUGCAAACCAUUUGAGGUGUACAUAUAAUUAAAAGACACAUAUAUCACUUGAAUCAUUCCUACACAUCUACUACAUGUAUGCCAUAUCAAUAACUCAUACUUAAUAAAUUAUAAUAGGGGGAUAAUGGAAGUAAAAGAAGAACACCGCCGAUGAACUUUAAAUUAUCAAACUCUCACUGAUAUUAGAAUAUUAGAUGACUAGUCAGAGUUUUUGGGCUUUAUAAAUAUGCCAUAACAUCAAGUAAUCAUAAAUAGUAUUAUUAUGUAAACUAUGAAUAUGUUGAAGAUGGUUUACAAGUAUAAAAAUUGACUAAGGUUGUGGAUAAGAAUGAAUACGGUAACAUGACUAUAUCGUUCAAACAAAAAUGACUAGUUCGUAAUUUUUAUGGAUGAAGUUACUCUGAAUUAGAUAGAUUGUUGGUGGAGAAUUCAAUGAUGAUUCAUUGAUGUUACGCCAUUAUAUUGUGUAUGGAUGCACAAGGUUGAUUAUUGGUCCCAUAUUUUUAAAAAAUAUACUAUCAUUAUUUUGAACAUGGCUAGAUGACACUAUAUAUAGUGGUCUAUUUUUGCCCAAAAUAUGGACUUUAAUAGACUUAUAAAAUUUAGAAACCAGAAGAAUGCCAUUUUCACAUUGUUAGCAAGAGCAUUUUUGGAAUCAUUAUUUAUCAGUUUCAUUGUUAGGAUUUAGUUUAGCAUGCAUCAAAUAGAUAGGAAUAAUAUGAAAGAAACUUUAAUGAGGAUGUAUGAUAUGAUUGAGUCGAGGAUAAAUAAUGUUUAUUUGUGUGUUUUACUUACUUCCAUCCCAUUAUUAUGAUAUUUAUAGAGUUUUAGUCCUGUUUAAAAUGAGUACCCUUUAUGGGGCUUUGAAUUUUACAAUAUUGUUAGAGUACCCCCUGUACUCCUUUUUCAAUUAUAUAUAUAAUAUGGUUCUAUUGCGAUCAAAGAAAUUGCAAGGUCAGAUAAUUAAAUAAAAUUUUGGGACAAAUUAUAAUAGGAACAAUAUUAUAAUGAGAAAUAAAAUAAAAGGGCUUAGCCCAAUGGAGAAAUAUUUGUUUACCCUACCCAGUAACGCCCACACAAUAACCGCUAACGCACUUCAAAAGAUGUUCAUAAGGACCGGGAUAUUUUUUCUGACAAUCGGCGUCAGUAACACACUCUCCUGCAAUGUAAAAUAAGGAUAAAGAAGUAUUACUAUCUAUGAGUAAAAUAUUGUGUCUAAGAUAAAAAAAAAAAAAUGAGAAUGAGCUUACUUUCAUCCUCAAUUACAACAAGAAACAAAGAAACAUAAAUGAUCGCAAUAUAAAAAAUCUUGAGA
RNAcentral lists this long non-coding RNA (1695 nucleotides) under Medicago truncatula (barrel medic). RNAcentral describes it as "lncRNA gene22590". Lineage: Eukaryota; Viridiplantae; Streptophyta; Magnoliopsida; Fabales; Fabaceae. The record is from RNAcentral.